CCGCCUUUAGCUCUGCAAGGAGCCACAAUACAGCGCGACACACACACGCGCACACACACACACGCACGCACGCGCGCACGCGACUUUCGUUUCUUGGCGACUUGAUCCACAUUUUACUCUCCAGUCUCCGAAAAAAAAAAAAAUGAAUGUAAAGGAUCUCGCGCUCACGGCGCUGUAGUUUCCGUCCCAGAAUAGGACUGGUAGGACAACGUGCCUUUACUAUACAGAUCGCGUGUUUAAAUCAGAAGAACACCAGCAGGGGAGUUUUGCUUGACUGGUUGAGGUGAUCUGUAGUUAGACCUUUGGAUUCUGGCUUCCUUUGGGACUUUUGAAGCCCUGAGAUCCCCGCGGAUUGCUGUUUCUCUGUGUGUGUGUCUCAUGUCUGGGCUGAUUGUGUCCUCUCUUCACUGGCACCAUGUCGCCCGGAGCGGAGAAAAGACUCGCGUCUCAGAUCAGACUGCUGGAGACCUUGAUCAAGGACCAACGAUCAGUAAUCAAUUUGGAGAGUCUGUUGGAUUCUUUAAAUGCCUUGGCCCUUGAUCUGAAUCACCCUGCGCUGCGGAAGAACAAAAACAUUGAUGCCUUCUUAAACAGAUAUGAGAAGGCUGUAAACCGUCUGAAGGAACUGCAGGUGCGGCUGGAUGAUUUUGACCAAAUCAAAUUAAUCGGCAAAGGAGCCUAUGGAGCGGUGCAACUGGUGCGGCAUAAGGUCUCUAAGAAAGUAUACGCUAUGAAGAAGCUCAGCAAGUUUGAGAUGCUCAAGCGCUCAGACUCUGCCUUCUUCUUUGAGGAGCGGGACAUCAUGGCCUUCUCAAACAGUCCCUGGAUAGUGCAGCUGUGCUGUGCAUUUCAAGAUGAGCGCCAUCUCUACUUGGUGAUGGAGUUCAUGGCAGGUGGAGAUCUGGUAACCCUCACCAUGAAUUACGACAUGCCUGAGGAAUGGGCACGCUUCUACACAGCUGAAGUGGUGCUGGCACUGGAUGCCAUCCACUCCAUGGGCUUCAUCCACAGAGACAUCAAACCUGAAAACAUGUUGCUGGACUGCAGUGGCCACCUCAAACUCGCCGACUUCGGCACAUGCAUGAAGAUGGACAAGUCUGGGAUGGUUCGCUGUGACACAGCUGUGGGAACACCAGAUUACAUUUCUCCAGAGGUGCUGAUGUCACAGGGUGGAACCGGUCAUUAUGGACGCGAGUGUGACUGGUGGUCUGUGGGAGUGGUUAUCUAUGAGCUGCUGAUUGGUGAAACUCCAUUUUAUGCUGAGUCACUAGUGGGAACUUAUGGCAAGAUCAUGGAUUACAAAAAGAGUCUGAACUUCCCAGAUGAUAUGGAAAUGUCUAAAGAGGCCAAAAACCUUAUCUGUGCCUUUUUGACUGACAGGGAUGUGAGGCUUGGGCGGACAGGAGUGGAGGAAAUCAAACGUCACCCCUUCUUCAAGAAUGACCAAUGGACCUUCGACACCAUACGAGACACCAUGGCUCCUGUGGUGCCUGAGUUGAGAAAUGACAUUGACACAAGCAACUUUGAUGAUAUUGAGGAUGAGAAAGGGGAUGUUGAGACGUUCCCACCUCCUCGUGCAUUUGUAGGCAACCAGCUACCUUUUGUUGGAUUUACAUACUUCAGGGAGGACCAGUUGAUGAGCAAAAAACAAAAAUAUGAAGAUGAGUAUGAACUCUGUAUUGAUGGUUUAGUAGAAAAGGAGGACCAGUCAGAGAGAUCUGAGACUGAAGAUGUGCAAAAGAAGCUGAUUAAGAUAGAAGAGAAGUUUAAACAUGAGAUGCAAGCUAAGAAUGAACUGGAAAACAAAUGCAGAAGUGCAAACGAGCGACUAGAUAAACUGUCCAAGGAGCUUGAAGAGGAGAUGAGUGCAAGGAACAGAGCAGAGGAUUCCCUAAGGAAACUGGAGCGAGAGAAAGCCCUGCUGCAGCUCCAGAGCACAGAGAGCCUGAGAAAGGCUGAACUCGAGACAGAGAGAAAACGCAGCUUAGAAAACGAAGUGAGCAGCUUGAAAGAUCAGCUGACUGAGCUGAAGAAGAAGAGCCAUAACUCACAGAUCUCCACUGAGAAAAAUAUCCAUCUAGAGAGACAGCUGGAGGAGGUGAGUGCUAAGCUGCAGGCAGAGGUGGAGGAGUCAGGCCGAGUGAAGAAAGCUCAGGCCGAGGCAGCGAGACAGGCACAGCAGCUGGAGCUUUUACUAAGGGAGCUGCAGGAGAGACUGGUCCAGCUGGAGAGCAGCCGACUUGGCCUGGAGCAGGACAACCUCAGCCUGCAGAGUGCCCUAGAGACUGAGAAGAGGGAGCGCAGUCUCAGCUCUGAGAACAUCACUGAGCUGCAAGUGUGUGUCUCAGGUCUGGAGGAAGAACUGAAGCAAACAAAGAACUUGCUCUCUAAGGCUGAGGGUGAGAAGAGACAGCUACAGGAGGAACUGACUAACUUGGAGAAGUUAAGGAGUCAGCAAGAGAUCGACUUUAGCUUCAAGCUAAAAUCUGUUCAGCAACGAUUAGAGCAAGAGGAAGAGGAGCACAACGCUGCAAAAACCCGACUCGCUGACCACAGCAAGCUCAACCAGUCCAUUGAGGAGGCCAAGUCUGAAGUGCUAAGGGACAUGGAGCGUAAGCUACAGGACGAGCGCUCCGCUAAGCAGCAGCUGGAGAGUAAGCUGAUGCAGCUGGAGAAACAUAACUCAGUCCUGGACUGUGAUUAUAAACAAGCACAGAAUGAGCUCCAAGAGCUUCGCUCACACAAGAACAAGCUCACAGAGGAGCUGGAUUUGCUGACUGUGAGAGUGGAGCAGGAAACGCAGCGUCGGAAUCUGUCCCAAGCUGAUCUGAAGGCUCAGAGGAACGAAGUCAGCACGCUGCGCUCUUCUGAGAAACAACUCAAACAAGAACUCAACCACCUGCUGGAGCUCAAACUCAGCAUGCAGAAACAAAACCAGGAGCUACGCAGGGAGAGAGAAGUUGCCGAUACACAUCUGAAGGAGUUAAAGGAUCAGCUGGAGGCAGAACAAUAUUUCACAAAACUAUAUAAGACUCAGAUUCGAGAGCUGAAGGAAGACUGUGAUGAAAAGACUAAACUCUACCAGGACGCACAGCGGAGACUGGAGGACCUUCAGGAGGAGAGGGACUCUCUGGCCACACAGCUGGAGGAGAGCCUGACAAAGGCCGACUCAGAGCACUUGGCACGCUCCAUUGCUGAGGAGCAGUAUUCAGACCUGGAGAAAGAGAAGAUUUUGAAAGAGCUGGAGGUCAAAGACAUGAUGGCCAGACACCAGCAGGAGCUCAAUGACAAGGACAACACUAUCAGCUCGCUAGAGGAGUCUAACCGCACUCUGACUGUGGAUGUAGCCAACCUGGCCAGUGAGAAAGAGGAGCUGAAUAACCAACUAAAAGACCUUCAACAGCAACUGCAAAAAGCCAAAGAGGAAGAGAAGCAGGUUAGCGCCAUGAAACUGUCAUUUGAGAGGCAACUUCAGUCUGAGCGAACACUCAAGAUCCAGGCUGUUAACAAGCUAGCCGAGAUAAUGAACAAGAAGGAUGCGGUGCGCAGCGUUCACCGUCCAGAUGAUGGCACUCUGAGAAGGAAGGAGAAGGAAAACAGGAAGUUGCAGCUGGAGCUGCGCUCCGAGCGAGAGAAGCUCAACAGUACCAUCAUCAAAUACCAGAAAGAGAUCAGUGACAUGCAGGCUAUGAUAACGGAUGAGUCGCAGAUGCGUGUGGAGCUGCAGAUGGCUUUGGACAGUAAGGACAGUGAUAUCGAGCGUCUGCGCUGUCAGCUAACUUCACUUAGCAUCCAUUCCUUAGACACAACUAGCAUCAGCAGUAUGGGCAAUGAGCAGGACACUGAUGAGCCUUACCCAGUGCGCAUCACACAAACACAAACCUCAGAGUCCAUGUCGUUCACAUACCAGCGAAGCUCCAAGCGGGUGUGUAUUGACACCCGGCCAAGCCUCAUGUGCCCCCUCUUCCCUUCUGAGCCUGAGGAAGAGAACGAUGAGGAAGAGAGGGGUCAGCCUCGACUGGCUUUGGUUUGUGAGAGGCCAGCAAAUGUUGAGCCUGCAGAUGCUAGUCUGGAGGGCUGGCUGUCACUUCCAAGCAAGAACACCAAGAGGUUUGGAUGGGAUAAGAAGUACGUGGUGAUGAGCAGCAAGAAGAUCCUGUUCUAUGACUCAGAGGAAGACCGUGAUCAGGCCAAACCAUUUAUGAUACUGGACAUCAAUAAACUCUUUCAUGUACGACCUGUGACUCAAACAGAUGUAUACCGUGCAGAUAUUAGAGAGAUCCCUCGCAUUUUCCAGAUCCUCUAUGCCAACGAGGGUGAGAGUAAGAAUCAGGAAGCAGCCGUGGAGCUUUCAGUGACCGAGAGAUCAGCGUACAUCCCUCACAAAGGCCAUGAGCUUGUGCCCACACUCUACCACUUCCCCUCCAACUGUGAGGCGUGUGCUCGACCCCUCUGGAAUGUCUUCAAGCCCCCUCCAGCUGUGGAGUGCCGUCGCUGCCAUGUCAAAUGCCACAAAGACCACCUAGACCUCAAGGAGGAAGUGCUUGCACCCUGCAAAGUGAACUAUGAUACAGCUAAAGAGCUGCUGCUGCUGGCCAGUUCCUCAACUGAGCAGCAGAAAUGGAUCAAUCGUCUUCUGAAGAAAAUUCCACGCAAACCCUAUACUCAGACUGUGGCAGCCCCUCAUGAGCCUCCAGUGGUGUCACCGCUGCCCUCGCCCCGUCUCUCUCCAAGAAACUCGCCCAAACUCACCCCCAAAGGAGCCAUCAGAGUGCACAGCAGAGGCCCACCACCCUCUAGCAAGCCCAGCUCUGGCCCCAUGCUCCGAAUCAUUCUCCACUGACCCCUGACCUUUCACCUUCACCCUGUGGUGCUGUGUAUGUGCGUGGACACAUGGUAGAGUUUGACCUGGAGGCCUGGGGUUGGGCUCUUCGUGAUGAUGAUGAUGAUGAUGAUGAUGAUGAUGAUGAUGAUGAUGUGUUUGACUUCUGAAGAUGUGGGAGACUGCAGGCUAACCUUAAUGGAUACUGGAUUGCACUCAGCGUCAUGUAGCAGAUGCUGCAGCACAACAGACAAUACAGAAAACAAAGGACGUGAAAACAAUGACGUAUUGUAGACACACUGCCAAUCAACACUCUGUAAAUUAGCAGACCUGAAGAUGUGCCUUAUACUAAACAUUUUACAGCAAUAAUAUUACAGUGUGAAAAUGCAUGAAAGUAUGAAAAUGUUAUGUUUGGUUAUACAGUAUGGCUGCUUAUGUCUGUGUAUGGAUAAUUAGAAAUAUGACAGAAUGGAUUUGUAUAUUCAAAUAUGAUCUAUUUCUGUAAGGGAAACACUCAUGCAGUGCAUUGCAAACACUACAUUUUUACUGUUAAAGAUUAUUUAAUGCUUCAGAAAGAGCUGGACUGUGGUAUAUAUUUGAAAGAAAGAAAAAAUAGGCAAAACAUUUUGAGUUUUGUUUUAAAGAUGCACUCCACUGCACAGGUUUACUUCAAGCGUUGCAAGCCUUGUCAGUUCAUAACUCUGGAACUACCUACAGUACAAAGCAGAAUAUGCAGUGCUGGUCUAAAUGAUUUUCUUUAACCAUGAUGUGUGCAGUAGAACGAAGAGGCCACUGACUAAAUACUUUAUCAGAAGACAGAAUUGAAUAGAAAAAAAAGGGUGACAUUAAUUAAUUACAUACAUACAUACAUGCAUGCAUGCAUACACACACACACACACACACACACACACACACACACACACACACACACACACACACUAUGCAUGUUUAGAACAAAUGCAUAAGAACUACAUUAGUAUAGAUCACAGGAAUUAAGUUAAUCCAGUUUCACCAUACAAAUGUGGUUGUGUUUUGUUUUGCACCGGUGCAUCACAUUAAUACAUUCACAUCUCUUUUGGACUUUGUCUUUAAAUUGUCCUUAAAUAAUCUGGGUUGUUUUUUUUUUCCAUUUCACUUAUCAGACUAAAUUGGAUAAAUAAAAGAUGACUCUGUUGACUUUC
Ictalurus punctatus (channel catfish) is the source of this 6003-nucleotide RNA transcript. It is a transcript of the gene named rho-associated protein kinase 2, with no coding region annotated. The record is from RefSeq and is a predicted model, not a curated record. The transcript is spliced from 35 exons. Lineage: Eukaryota; Metazoa; Chordata; Actinopteri; Siluriformes; Ictaluridae.